UUAGUGGCGAACGGGUGAGUAACACAUGAGUAACCUGCCCUUAACUCUGGGAUAAGCCUGGGAAACUGGGUCUAAUACCGGAUAGGAGCGUCCACCGCAUGGUGGGUGUUGGAAAGAUUUAUCGGUUUUGGAUGGACUCGCGGCCUAUCAGCUUGUUGGUGAGGUAAUGGCUCACCAAGGCGACGACGGGUAGCCGGCCUGAGAGGGUGACCGGCCACAUUGGGACUGAGAUACGGCCCAG
Molecule: ribosomal RNA, 241 nt
Filed under: uncultured Actinomycetales bacterium
Lineage: Bacteria; Bacillati; Actinomycetota; Actinomycetes; Actinomycetales
Description: partial 16S ribosomal RNA
Rfam family: Bacterial small subunit ribosomal RNA
Source: RNAcentral